CAGCAGCCGCGGUAAUACGUAGGGUGCAAGCGUUAAUCGGAAUUACUGGGCGUAAAGCGUGCGCAGGCGGUUUCGUAAGACAGAUGUGAAAUCCCCGGGCUUAACCUGGGAACUGCAUUUGUGACUGCGAGGCUAGAGUGUGUCAGAGGGGGGUGGAAUUCCACGUGUAGCGGUGAAAUGCGUAGAUAUGUGGAGGAACACCGAUGGCGAAGGCAGCCCCCUGGGAUAACACUGACGCUCAUGCACGAAAGCGUGGGGAGCAAACAGGAUUAGAGACCCCAGUAGUCCCUGUCUCUUAUAC
RNAcentral lists this ribosomal RNA (301 nucleotides) under uncultured bacterium. RNAcentral's name for it is "partial 16S ribosomal RNA". It matches the Rfam family "Bacterial small subunit ribosomal RNA", at positions 509 to 807 of the family's 1533-position model. The record is from RNAcentral.